Non-coding RNA from Hydra vulgaris (swiftwater hydra), 942 nucleotides. NCBI's taxonomy places the organism in Eukaryota, Metazoa, Cnidaria, Hydrozoa, Anthoathecata, Hydridae. The record is from RefSeq and is a predicted model, not a curated record.
UCCAACAAAAGAUGUCAAUCUUCAAAAACUGAUAUUGAUAUAUUGAUUUUAAGUGACGCUAUUUUAAGGUAAACGAUACCUUAUGAAUGGCUUUCCAUGUUUGUCCUUUGAGAUUUUAAAAACUAUAAUUAAUUCAGAAGAGCGCAACCUCUAAGUAUUAAAAAAAAAAAAAAAAUCCUAUGGCCAUUUAUAUUAUUGGCUAUAGGUUAAACAGUAUGGCUUAUAAUAAAUAACUAGUAAUAUAUAAAAGGUAGAAAAAGUUUCCCAAAUUUAAUUUAACUUUUCUAAACAAAGCAGCCCUUAUGAAUAUUUUUCCGCACUCAGGUUUUGUUUGUUUAUUUUGACUAGUCUCAGACUCCCGCGUUUAAAUAGCACAACGACGGAGUAAGCAGUUCUUAGAAAGUUGCAGAAUGCUGCUAAUCUUUCUGGAUGUUUCUUAAAAUAGCAGAAUACUUAUAGAUGUUAUUUAAAAAAAGAUAUAAAUUUCAACAUUUGGCUUUAAUGAUUAUAAAACGCAAGCAAGCAGAUAAACAGUAUUCAAGAGAAGAGAACUAUACAGAAUAGAAUAAUAUCAAUGAACAUAUUAUUGUAUUUGAAUCAGUUAUUUCAGAAACCUCGUUAACCAAAUGUUUUUUGAGGCGCAACGCUUAGGGUUAUGUUUGAGUUCAAGAUCUUUUUUGUUUAGCAAUCUAAAAUCAAAGAUUAUUUUUCAAAGAUUUUUUUAAAAUCUUUGAAAAAUGGCCAGAACAUUCUAAUUGUAUUCUUAUAGUAAAAUCUUUACACUAGUUGUAUAUGAUGAUUUACGUUAUUAGAGAGUAGAGCAAAUCAUUGCCUGUUUCUUUACACGGAGUGGGAGGGCACUGUUGCAUUUCGUCCUUUAUCUACAAAUGCAACAAUCAGAUCUGAAAUAACUUGUUUAUAAUGCAACAGGGUUUAACAAAU